This 473-nucleotide ribosomal RNA is filed under the name uncultured organism. RNAcentral's name for it is "partial 16S ribosomal RNA". It matches the Rfam family "Bacterial small subunit ribosomal RNA", at positions 332 to 797 of the family's 1533-position model. The record is from RNAcentral.
UACACUCCUGCGGGAGGCAGCAGUGGGGAAUUUUGGACAAUGGGCGAAAGCCUGAUCCAGCAAUGCCGCGUGAGUGAAGAAGGCCUUCGGGUUGUAAAGCUCUUUUGUCAGGGAAGAAACGGUGAGAGCUAAUAUCUUUUGCUAAUGACGGUACCUGAAGAAUAAGCCCCGGCUAACUACGUGCCAGCAGCCGCGGUAAUACGUAGGGUGCAAGCGUUAAUCGGAAUUACUGGGCGUAAAGCGUGCGCAGGCGGUUUUGUAAGUCUGAUGUGAAAUCCCCGGGCUCAACCUGGGAAUUGCAUUGGAGACUGCAAGGCUAGAAUCUGGCAGAGGGGGGUAGAAUUCCACGUGUAGCAGUGAAAUGCGUAGAUAUGUGGAGGAACACCGAUGGCGAAGGCAGCCCCCUGGGUCAAGAUUGACGCUCAUGCACGAAAGCGUGGGGAGCAAACAGGAUUAGAUACCCUUGUAGUCCC